UGGGGAAUCUUGCACAAUGGGCGAAAGCCUGAUGCAGCGACGCCGCGUGCGGGAUGAAGGCCUUCGGGUUGUAAACCGCUUUCAGCAGGGACGAGGCCGCAAGGUGACGGUACCUGCAGAAGAAGCCUCGUCUAACUACGUGCCAGCAGCCGCGGUAAUACGUAGGGGGCAAGCGUUAUCCGGAUUCAUUGUGCGUAAAGCGCGCGUAGGCAGUUUGUUAGGUCAGGAGUUAAAUCUGGGGGCUCAACCCCUAUCCGCUCCUGAUACCGGCAGGCUUGAGUCUGGUAGGGGAAGGCGGAAUUCCAAGUGUGGCGGUGAAAUGCGCAGAUAUUUGGAAGAACACCGGUGGCGAAGGCGGCCUUCUGGGCCACGACUGACGCUGAGGCGCGAAAGCUAGGGGAGCGAACAGG
Molecule: ribosomal RNA, 410 nt
Filed under: Verrucomicrobiota bacterium
Lineage: Bacteria; Pseudomonadati; Verrucomicrobiota
Description: Verrucomicrobia bacterium partial 16S ribosomal RNA
Rfam family: Bacterial small subunit ribosomal RNA
Source: RNAcentral